Molecule: long non-coding RNA, 3173 nt
Filed under: Anas platyrhynchos platyrhynchos (common mallard)
Lineage: Eukaryota; Metazoa; Chordata; Aves; Anseriformes; Anatidae
Description: lncRNA (ENSAPLG00000018878.1)
Source: RNAcentral
AUUCAAUUAAUAAACAUCUGAAGCAUCCAGUCCUCAGACUCAAUAACUUUUCCAUGUGUAAUCUAAAAUAUUGAGAACAUAUUUAUAAUUUAACACAGUUAUUGUGAUCCUGUGCCAACUAUUAGCUCAUGGAUAUAACUUGAACACAAGGUUAUAGGAUAAUCAGAAUCUACAGAAAUGUUGUUUUUUACCCACAAAAUCUCUACAAAUUACAGUUUUGUGUUUUACUUUAAACAUAUUAAUUUCUAUUUUUGUUCUUACUGUAAAAUGAUAGAAAGAAGAUUUAUAUGAAAGCAGUAUAAUAUGCAAGAAACACUGCCAUCAUUACAGAUCUUUUUCCUCAUUUCACUUCUUAGAAAGUCAUUUUUUAACAACAUUUAUGAUUCAACACAGGAAGGUAAGUGGCCUGAUAGAGUGGGCUUGUCAUUAAAUACUAGAAAGAAGGAUAAUAAGUGGUUGCAUGGCAAAUUGGAAUGGUUAAUUUAAUUUUCUCUCUCAUUUUUUUCCUUUCCUCUUUUUGCUGACAGUAUUGUCUGAUUAUUGUGUUUUCAUAUGAAAAAUAGCUGAUAGUAGUCAUCUCAAUCCUUCUUAUCAUCAUCUGAGUUUGGAGAUCCUGUUUUUAUUUCUAGUGUACUCAUCUACCAAAUACAUUUCUCUUCAAAUUUGGAAUCAGAAAAAUUUAUUCCUUCUUGUUUACAGUUUGUGUAUAACUUCUUUUUAUCUCUUUCAGUUCUGAAUUUAAAAAACAGACCUUCAUUUAAUGACUUAAAAAAAGAAAAAAAAAAAAAAAAAAAAAAGAAACAAUAUCAAGCAUGCUGUUGCAUACCUGAAGAAUGUGGGAUUUAGAAAAAAAAUUAAGAAUUAUAAGAUCAAACUGAAGUUUGAAAUCAAUGUAACAUUUUGAUUCCUCAUCCUUUAAUUUUAUUUAAUAUCCAUUACAAAAUUUCAUUUCAAUCUAAGCCUAUUCUGGAACUGUAUCAUAUCAUUAAAUUUUACAGAUACUACCAUUUCAAACAUCUAUUUAGGACUGCAGUAGAAGAGGUGAAGAACAAUGUGUCCUUGGGUGCCUGUGAUGUGCAGAAGCCUUGGAAUACAUCAUUACUGCAGUGCAGCUGGACAUCUGCUACACAGAAUGUAGCACAUCCAUAAAGAAAAACCUUCUGGGAUUCAUUUUGAAGGAGCAUGUUCGGGCUUUGAGAGAGGCUGAUGCAGAACAGGCUGAGGAACUGGAUCUAAGAUCAUGAAUUGAAGAUUAGGAAGGAUACAAGCAGAAAUAUAUUGCCAAGGAGAGAAUGGAGAGAGAGCAGGUUUGGUCAAAGAUUUGGGGCAAUACACCACUUCUUCCAAAACUUUAUUGAUUGCCAGGCAUUUGAGGUUCAGGACAUUGCUCACUUAUGAGAUGCCCUGUGACAUCUUUGUUGAAUUUCAGCUGCUAUUCUGAAAUGAAUGUUUCCCACAGACUAAAUCACAUGGAUGUCUCAGGCUUACAUAGAUAUCUCAAACAGCAGUAGAUGUCUGUGUGUAAGCACUUGAAAAAAUCCUUCAGAGAUAUGUUCAGGUCCAGAUUCAGGCACAUAAAGGUGCCUGCAAUGUCUUUAUUUACACGUGAAUUUGGUAUUUAAGCUUCCGUUGUCUGCCUGCUAUGGAGGCUAAAGAUCUACUCAGUUCCCCCAAAACCAGUCCUGCAUCUGACUGGCUGUAGCUCUUUAGACUUGACUGACUGUGUUGACAAGGGGUAGCCAGUGGAAUUUCGCUCAUUCUUGAUGUUCAGUAUACCUACUGAAAAAAAAAGGUUGGGUCACCUCAGGUGACGGGAGCUGUGUGAUUGUGUGCUGGUGACUGAGUCAUCCAUGUGGAUAUCUCUGCUGUCUGUAACAGGAGCUGAGAUACCUAAUUUGCACGUUAACAUCUAUACUUAGGCUUUUAAAUUUAGCUAUUUUUCUUUUCAUGGUGAAUCCCACCAUUGAUGUUUCUCCUUUAUUAUUUGUAAGUAUUGCAGUUAAAUUUGUCAUUUAACCUUGUUAGCUAGUGUGAGCCUAGACUCCCAUUGGACUACUUUAUUCUCCAAAGCUGCAGUCUCCUGCUUGCAUUGUGCUACUAGAGACCUGCAGUAGCAGCAAGUAUCAUUUCAUAUCUUCCUUAGAGGAAAACAGAACAAGUUCCUCUCUUUUCACAGAAUCACAGAAUCAUCUAGGUUGGAAGAGACCUCAAAGAUCUCAAAAGUAGCCAUGACCCUGAAUACAUUGAUACCUAUUGCUUGUAGAAAGGAUAACACAUCAUCAUAAAGUUAUAGAAUCAGAGUGGUUUGGGUUGAAAAGGACCUUAAAAACUAUCUAGUUCCAACCCACUGCCAUAGGCAGAAAUGCCACCCACUAGAUCAGGUUGCCUAGGGCCUCAUACAUCCUGACUUUGAACACCUCCAGGGAUGAGGCAUCCACAGUCUCUCUGGGAAACCUGUUCCAGUGCCUCACCACCCUCUGAGUGAAGUAUUUCCUCCUAAUCUCUAAACUAAAUUUGCCUUCUUUUACUUUAAAUUUUACUUUAAAUCUAUUCCUCCUUGUACUGUCAUUAUCUGCCUGAGCAAAAACUUGUUCUCCAUCUUUUUUAUAACUCCUCUCCCUCCUUUAAAUAUUGAAAAGUUGCUAUGAGAACACCCAAGAGCCUUCUCUUUAGGCUAAACAUCCCCAACUCCCUUAGCCUGUCUUCAUAGGAGAGGUACUCCAGACCUUUGUUCAUCUUGGUGGCCCUCCUCUGGACUCAUUCUAAUACUUCCAUGUCCUUCUGAAGCAUAAAACUCUGUUAUGAAUUAUUUGAGGGUUGCAUUUAUGCUAAAAUAGUAAACAGGGCAAGACCCAAAGUUCAAACACUGGUAUAUGGUACUGUGUAGUGGCCAACAUGUCUUUUGGUGUGUUUUUGGCUUGUGACAACUUUUCCCAGAUAAUACUAAGAACAGAUCAAUCUCCAACAGACAGUAGGUAUAAGGGUGUUGCUGCAGGAGAGAUUUUUACAAUAUAGACAUAUAUUACAGACACUUGGUGCCUGUGGGCUGAAGAACAAACCCUGUGCUCUCUUACUUUUAAAUACUGAUGGAGUAUAAAGGAAAAUCAAUAAGCUAACUGAGGCUGAAAGUUAUUACAAAUAAACUGCAGAAUCAGUAUUUGUGUCUUUGUGUC